Molecule: long non-coding RNA, 533 nt
Filed under: Bos taurus (domestic cattle)
Lineage: Eukaryota; Metazoa; Chordata; Mammalia; Artiodactyla; Bovidae
Description: long non-coding RNA NONBTAT023348
Source: RNAcentral
CUUUAUUUGCCAAUAAAAUCCUUUGUAAAUGUGAGUUUUAUUAAACUAUUUGAAUAGACAAAGUGAAAGUUAGGGUAGAAAAAAUAUAUAUACAUACAUAUAUAUAUGAAGUGAUGUCUUUGAGAUCCAAUUUCCAGCCUGAAAUGGCCUGAUUUUGGAUGUUAAUUUGUUUUCAGUGAAGUCAAUGAGAUUUGAGUCUAGCUGGGCAUUGGCUUAAAAAGCUGAAAGUGAAGUGGGUGGCAAGUGGCAGCUCCCUCUUUCAUGUAGUUUUCCAUAAUACUCACGGAGUUUCCUUAUGGUCUAUGUGAUAUAACUGGUGUUGAAAUAACUAUAUUAGAUGAAUAUUCCUUUUUGGAAUUCAAGGUUGACUCACUUUUUGAGGAGGGGGGUAGCAAGGGAUAAGAGACUUUAUUUUAACUAGAGGCAUUCUUAUAACCUCAAGAUGUACUCUAGAACUAGUAGGAGAACAAAAAGCGUACCUGUGAACAUAUUUUUUGUCUUAGAUUGCGCGACAGUGUUUGGAAUUGCAAAAA